UGAGGAGCUCUGCGAGCAUGUA
This 22-nucleotide microRNA is filed under the name Equus caballus (horse). Its description in RNAcentral is "eca-miR-1597". The record is from miRBase by way of RNAcentral. Lineage: Eukaryota; Metazoa; Chordata; Mammalia; Perissodactyla; Equidae.